AGAGUUUGAUCAUGGCUCAGGACGAACGCUGGCGGCGUGCCUAAAACAUGCAAGUCGAACGGUGGUAGCAAUACCAUAGUGGCGAACGGCGGAGUAAUACGUGAACAACGUGCCCUAAAAACUGGGAUAGUCACUGGAAACGGUGGGUAAUACCGGAUGUGGCGAGGGAAUCACCUGAUUUUCUCGUUAAAUGGUUUUUCGCUUUAGGAGCGGUUCACGGCCUAUCAGGUAGUUGGUGGGGUAAUGGCCUACCAAGCCGACGACGGGUAGCGGGUCUGAGAGGAUGGUCCGCUCGAGUGGGACUGAGACACGGCCCACACACCUACGGGUGGCAGCAGUUGGGAAUCUUGCACAAUGGGGGCAACCCUGAUGCAGCGACGCCGCGUGGAGGACGAAGGGUCUAGGCCUGUAAACUCCUUUUCUCGGGAAAGACUUAGGACGGUACCCGAGGAAUAAGCCCCGGCUAACUACGUGCCAGCAGCCGCGGUAAGACGUAGGGGGCAAGCGUUGUCCGGAUUUACUGGGCGUAAAGCGCGCGUAGGCGGUCCGUUGAGUGCACAAGUGAAAGCUCUUGGCUCAACCAAGAAANUGCUUUGCAUACUGGCGGGCUGGAGGGACGCAGAGGUCUGUGGAAUUCCUGGUGUAACGGUGAAACGUGUUGAUAUCNGNNGGAACACCCAUGGCGAAGGNAGCANANUGGGCGUUUCCUGANGCUGAGGCGCGAAAGCNNGNUANNAAACAGGAUUANAUACCCUGNAGUCCANGCCCUAAACNAUGGANNCUAGGCGUCGGGGGUAUCGACCCCCCGGUGCCNCAGCAAA
Molecule: ribosomal RNA, 821 nt
Filed under: uncultured bacterium
Lineage: Bacteria
Description: partial 16S ribosomal RNA
Rfam family: Bacterial small subunit ribosomal RNA
Source: RNAcentral